UAGAGUUAGGAGUGUUAAUAAGCUGUACAAGAGCGAGUUAGAGCCGGCUCGUUAAAAUAUCGAGUCGAAAAAUUCAGCUCGUAUUCGGCUCGUUAAUAAACGAGCCAAACAUGAGUUGGCUAACGAACAUUAAAUUAAAUAGAUUAGAUUGAAUGUACAUAUAAAAAAAAUUUAUUAAAUCUCACCUAAUAGACUUUAAUCUAAUGGUUGAAAUUUUACAUAUAAAUGAUUCUUUUCAUAAUUAAACUCGGCUUUAUAUGUUUUUUUUUCUAAAAAUUAAAUAAUUAAAAUAUAUAUUAUAUAUAAUUAUUUAUUUAUAUAUAUAAAUAUAAAAUAUAUUUAUUCGAGCUAUUGUCGAGUCGAACAUGAGAGAGCUGAUCCUAACUCAUGUUCGGCUCGUUUAAAUAAACGAGCCGAAAAAUUCAGCUCGUAUUCUGCUUGUUUACUAAAUAAGUGAUUCAAUCUGGAGCUGAUUUCGAGUCGAACACGAGCUGGCUCAUAAAUAGCGAACUGAAUUGUCACCCUUACAAAUAUAUGGAGUAUAAU
RNAcentral lists this long non-coding RNA (546 nucleotides) under Ananas comosus (pineapple). RNAcentral describes it as "long non-coding RNA (ACOM_LNC004567)". The record is from RNAcentral. Lineage: Eukaryota; Viridiplantae; Streptophyta; Magnoliopsida; Poales; Bromeliaceae.